This 422-nucleotide long non-coding RNA is filed under the name Rattus norvegicus (Norway rat). Its description in RNAcentral is "long non-coding RNA NONRATT001888". The record is from RNAcentral. Lineage: Eukaryota; Metazoa; Chordata; Mammalia; Rodentia; Muridae.
CGGGCACUGUUCGGGCUUGACCGACAGACUUUAUGGUGCAAACCCUGCAGUCUUUGAAUUUGGAAUAUUAUGAUGGAGAAAAAAAAAGUGCGUUCGCUACAUACAAGGUGAAGGCAGCUGCCUCAGCCCACCCUCUUCAGAUGGAAGCUUACUAGACUCACCUCCCCCCUCACCGCAUCUGCUAGGCUCCCCUCCCCAAGACGCCAAGUCACAGACUGAGCAGACACAGCCGCUCUCGCUGUCCCUGAAGCCUGAUCCUCUGGCCCACCUGUCCAUGAUGCCUCCACCACCCGCGCUCCUGCUGGCUGAAGCUGCCCACGGCAAGGCCUCUGCCCUCUGUCCCAACGGGGCCCUGGACCUGCCACCUGCCACUUUGCAGCCGUCCAUGGUCCCUUCCUCAUCGCUCGCACAACCAUCAACUU